Molecule: ribosomal RNA, 449 nt
Filed under: uncultured bacterium
Lineage: Bacteria
Description: partial 16S ribosomal RNA
Rfam family: Bacterial small subunit ribosomal RNA
Source: RNAcentral
AACGAACGCUGGCGGCAUGCCUAACACAUGCAAGUCGAACGAGAUCUUCGGGUCUAGUGGCGCACGGGUGCGUAACGCGUGGGAAUCUGCCCUUUGGUUCGGAAUAACAGUUGGAGACGACUGUUAAUACCGGAUGAUGACGAAAGUCCAAAGAUUUAUCGCCAGAGGAUGAGCCCGCGUAGGAUUAGCUAGUUGGUGUGGUAAAGGCGCACCAAGGCGACGAUCCUUAACUGGUCCGAGAGGAUGAUCAGCCACACUGGGACUGAGACACGGGCCAGAAUCCUACGGGAGGAAGCAGUGGGGAAUAUUGGACAAUGGGCGAAAGCCUGAUCCAGCAAGGCCGCGUGAGUGAUGAAGGCCUUAGGGUUGUAAAGCUCUUUUACCCGGGAUGAUAAUGACAGUACCGGGAGAAUAAGCUCCGGCUAACUCCGUGCCAGCCGCCGCCGUAA